UUAAAAAUAUAACUGUUUCAA
Molecule: non-coding RNA, 21 nt
Filed under: Caenorhabditis elegans
Lineage: Eukaryota; Metazoa; Nematoda; Chromadorea; Rhabditida; Rhabditidae
Source: RNAcentral